This 497-nucleotide ribosomal RNA is filed under the name uncultured bacterium. RNAcentral describes it as "partial 16S ribosomal RNA". It matches the Rfam family "Bacterial small subunit ribosomal RNA", at positions 28 to 507 of the family's 1533-position model. The record is from RNAcentral.
GAUGAACGCUGGCGGCGUGCCUAAUACAUGCAAGUCGAGCGAACAGACGAGGAGCUUGCUCCUCUGACGUUAGCGGCGGACGGGUGAGUAACACGUGGAUAACCUACCUAUAAGACUGGGAUAACUUCGGGAAACCGGAGCUAAUACCGGAUAAUAUAUUGAACCGCAUGGUUCAAUAGUGAAAGACGGUUUUGCUGUCACUUAUAGAUGGAUCCGCGCCGCAUUAGCUAGUUGGUAAGGUAACGGCUUACCAAGGCAACGAUGCGUAGCCGACCUGAGAGGGUGAUCGGCCACACUGGAAAUGAGACACGGUCCAGACUCCUACGGGAGGCAGCAGUGGGGAAUAUUCCGCAAUAGGCGCAAGCCUGACGGAGCAAAGCCGCGUGAGUGAUAAAGAUCUUCGGAUCGUAAAACUCUGUUAUUAGAGAGGAACAAAUGUGUAAGUAACUAUGCACGCCUUGACGGUACCUAAUCAGAGAGCCACGGCUCACUACGUG